AUCCGGCUGAUGAGUCCUAAAUAGGACGAAACGUGCGUCCUGGAU
Molecule: non-coding RNA, 45 nt
Filed under: Schistosoma haematobium
Lineage: Eukaryota; Metazoa; Platyhelminthes; Trematoda; Strigeidida; Schistosomatidae
Source: RNAcentral